ACUCGAUGAUCUGGAUGUUCCUUUUCUGCUGCAUCCUGCCGGUUGUGGGUACCCCUUCAUCAGACUGAUUCCUGCCUGACAGCACAAACAACCAGUAGCGUGCUGGACCUGGGAGGAGAGAGAGAGACGCAUGCGGCUGAUGUAUGGUGAAAUAUAAUAAAACAAUUAAGACAUCAUCGCUCUCUGAGUAAGUCUCUGCUGAAGAAGCUACAGUGGCAUCAGACUACGCCACAGUAUGGUUUACAACAUCUCUAGUCUACAUUAACAAAAGUUAUAAUUUUUUGUUGGUGUUGAGUGUGUAUAUGUCUCUUUCUCUCACUCUCAUAUUGAUUUUUAUUAUUUUGUAAAAAA
Molecule: long non-coding RNA, 351 nt
Organism: Larimichthys crocea (large yellow croaker)
Lineage: Eukaryota; Metazoa; Chordata; Actinopteri; Sciaenidae
Exons: 2
Source: RefSeq, a predicted model, not a curated record